UGUGUAAAACCUAACUCCAUUAACAAUGCAACUUGAAUAGGUUCUCAUACAAAAAUUAGAACCGCAUGCUAAUGCAUAUAAUUCAUUAGUCGCUUUUGACAACUUCAUGUUUCACAGUCGUGUUGUCUAGAAGAAAAAUCAACAUAUGUAAGCAACACGAGAAAGUCUAAACAUGACAUUCUUGUAAAAAGUUCCCAUAUAUAAAUAACAUACAUGUUUUUCAAGCCAUUGAGGAAAUUGUUGUCCUGGUCUUUGAUCUAUAUUUUCAUCACUUUCUUUCAUUAGUUCGCCCCUAUGAAUACUUUAAAAAAAUUAUGUAAAUA
Molecule: long non-coding RNA, 323 nt
Filed under: Elaeis guineensis (African oil palm)
Lineage: Eukaryota; Viridiplantae; Streptophyta; Magnoliopsida; Arecales; Arecaceae
Description: long non-coding RNA (EGUI_LNC021877)
Source: RNAcentral